Molecule: long non-coding RNA, 361 nt
Filed under: Elaeis guineensis (African oil palm)
Lineage: Eukaryota; Viridiplantae; Streptophyta; Magnoliopsida; Arecales; Arecaceae
Description: long non-coding RNA (EGUI_LNC019698)
Source: RNAcentral
AUUUCCAGGAGGGGGUGCUUGUUGAAUGUACCGGGACUGUGGAACAUGUGCCACAGUUCUAUAAGCAUCCUCCAGAGGGGCCAAAUUAACAGCAGGAGGUGGGGGCUGCCGAUCCUCAACAAACCGGGCAGGAGGUGGGGGCUGCCGAUCCUCAGCAUAGUGGGAAGGAGGUGCUUCUUGAGGUGGUAGAUCGAUGGGACGGAACAAUGCCAUCAAUUUACGGACCUGCACUCCAUCUCAAACAGUAAAAAUUUGGGUAGCAAGAUGACAAAACCUUAAAUUUAAUAGCUGAAUUGCUUUAAAAUAUGAUAUGAGUGAUGCUGAUUUUUCUUUAAUAGCCACAGGAUACAGAAUCUCAACU